UUCCUACGGGGCGCAGCAGUAGGGAAUAUUGCUCAAUGGGGGAAACCCUGAUGCAGCGACGCCGCGUGAGCGAAGAAGUAUUUCGGUAUGUAAAGCUCUAUCAGCAGGGAAGAAAAUGACGGUACCUGACUAAGAAGCUCCGGCUAAAUACGUGCCAGCAGCCGCGGUAAUACGUAUGGAGCAAGCGUUAUCCGGAUUUACUGGGUGUAAAGGGAGCGCAGGCGGCAUGGCAAGUCUGGUGUGAAAGGCCGGGGCUCAACCCCGGGACUGCAUUGGAAACUGCCAGGCUGG
Molecule: ribosomal RNA, 291 nt
Filed under: uncultured bacterium
Lineage: Bacteria
Description: partial 16S ribosomal RNA
Rfam family: Bacterial small subunit ribosomal RNA
Source: RNAcentral